UGGGGAAUUUUGGACAAUGGGCGAAAGCCUGAUCCAGCAAUGCCGCGUGUGUGAAGAAGGCCUUCGGGUUGUAAAGCACUUUUGUCCGGAAAGAAAUCCUUGGCUCUAAUACAGUCGGGGGAUGACGGUACCGGAAGAAUAAGCACCGGCUAACUACGUGCCAGCAGCCGCGGUAAUACGUAGGGUGCAAGCGUUAAUCGGAAUUACUGGGCGUAAAGCGUGCGCAGGCGGUUUGCUAAGACCGAUGUGAAAUCCCCGGGCUCAACCUGGGAACUGCAUUGGUGACUGGCAGGCUAGAGUAUGGCAGAGGGGGGUAGAAUUCCACGUGUAGCAGUGAAAUGCGUAGAGAUGUGGAGGAAUACCGAUGGCGAAGGCAGCCCCCUGGGCCAAUACUGACGCUCAUGCACGAAAGCGUGGGGGAGCAAAGCAGGAUUAGAUACCCUGGUAGUCCACGCCCUAAACGAUGUCAACUAGUUGUUGGGGAUUCAUUUCCUUAGUAACGUAGCUAACGCGUGAAGUUGACCGCCUGGGGAGUACGGUCGCAAGAUUAAAACUCAAAUGAAUUGACGGGGUCAUAGCUGUUUCC
This 586-nucleotide ribosomal RNA is filed under the name uncultured bacterium. RNAcentral's name for it is "partial 16S ribosomal RNA". It matches the Rfam family "Bacterial small subunit ribosomal RNA", at positions 355 to 937 of the family's 1533-position model. The record is from RNAcentral.